This 468-nucleotide ribosomal RNA is filed under the name uncultured bacterium. RNAcentral's name for it is "partial 16S ribosomal RNA". It matches the Rfam family "Bacterial small subunit ribosomal RNA", at positions 28 to 507 of the family's 1533-position model. The record is from RNAcentral.
GACGAACGCUGGCGGCGUGCUUAACACAUGCAAGUCGAACGGAAAGGCCCUGCUUUUGUGGGGUGCUCGAGUGGCGAACGGGUGAGUAACACGUGAGUAACCUGCCCUUGACUUUGGGAUAACUUCAGGAAACUGGGGCUAAUAACGGAUAGGAGCUCCUGCUGCAUGGUGGGGGUUGGAAAGUUUCGGCGGUUGGGGAUGGACUCGCGGCUUAUCAGCUUGUUGGUGGGGUAGUGGCUUACCAAGGCUUUGACGGGUAGCCGGCCUGAGAGGGUGACCGGCCACAUUGGGACUGAGAUACGGACCAGACUCCUACGGGAGGCAGCAGUGGGGAAUAUUGCGCAAUGGGCGGAAGCCUGAUGCAGCAACGCCGCGUGCGGGAUGACGGCCUUCGGGUUGUAAACCGCUUUCGCCUGUGACGAAGCGUGAGUGACGGUAAUGGGUAAAGAAGCACCGGCUAACUACGUG